CCGGCGACCGGCGCACGGGUGAGUAACACGUAUGCGACCUGCCCCCCGCAGGGGGAUAACCGGGAGAAAUCCCGACUAAUACCGCGUAACGCCGCGGACCUGCAUGGGUCUGCGGCCAAAGGAAGCGAUUCCGGCGGGGGAUGGGCAUGCGGCGCAUUAGCUAGUCGGCGGGGUAACGGCCCACCGAGGCGACGAUGCGUAGGGGCUCUGAGAGGAAGGUCCCCCACACUGGUACUGAGACACGGACCAGACUCCUACGGAAGGCAGCAG
This 270-nucleotide ribosomal RNA is filed under the name uncultured bacterium. Its description in RNAcentral is "partial 16S ribosomal RNA". It matches the Rfam family "Bacterial small subunit ribosomal RNA", at positions 88 to 354 of the family's 1533-position model. The record is from RNAcentral.